RNAcentral lists this ribosomal RNA (389 nucleotides) under uncultured bacterium. Its description in RNAcentral is "bacterial SSU rRNA". It matches the Rfam family "Bacterial small subunit ribosomal RNA", at positions 30 to 416 of the family's 1533-position model. The record is from RNAcentral.
AUUGAACGCUGGCGGCAUGCUUUACACAUGCAAGUCGAACGGUAACAGGGAGCUUGCUCCGCUGACGAGUGGCGAACGGGUGAGUAAUGCAUCGGAACGUGCCUAUUUGUGGGGGGAUAACGUAGCGAAAGUUACGCUAAUACCGCAUACGCCCUGAGGGGGAAAGCGGGGGAUUCGUAAGAACCUCGCGCAAUUAGAGCGGCCGAUGUCGGAUUAGCUAGUUGGUGGGGUAAAGGCUCACCAAGGCGACGAUCCGUAGCGGGUCUGAGAGGAUGAUCCGCCACACUGGGACUGAGACACGGCCCAGACUCCUACGGGAGGCAGCAGUGGGGAAUUUUGGACAAUGGGCGAAAGCCUGAUCCAGCCAUGCCGCGUGAGUGAAGAAGGCC